AUGUGGUUCCAAUUCCACGAUCAUUUGAUAUUUGGAUGAUUUGCAACAUGUCAAUCUUCCAUCAAUUGCAAGUUGCUGCUGCUUUUAGAUUUUUCUUGUGGAGAAGCAGUUCUUGCUUGAUCUCUUGAAAUGAUUUAGUAGGGAUUUUGCUUCUAGGUAAGUCUAUAAUCCUUGAACAUUUUAGUUUGAUGUGCAAGUCAAAGAUAUUUAAUAGGUUGGCUGGCUGAAUUAAUAAUCAUUUUUCAUCUACAUUGUUCAUUGCAUACUGUUUUCAAAUUUCGUCAUUCCUAUCUUUUUUAUUGUCGGACACCUGCAGCUGAAGGAAAUAAAAUUCAUUAUUGGUAGACUAGAACCAUGAUGGUACUACACAAUAUAAAGUUGCAGAAUAUAGAUCGCUUUAUGUCCUGGAGCUGCAAUCGUCCCUGGUCUGGCAAUGGCGGCGACGCUGCCCUGCUGGGCGAGGCCUAGUGUCGUUGUGUGUCUGUAGUUGAGGGCACCUCCUCACCUAGUUGUAGUCGCUUGGUGAGGACGGUCGUGUAUGUGUGCGCGCGCGUGUGUGUGUUCCUCCUUUCUGGAGGUUGUACCCCUGAUGUCUUCCUG
Molecule: ribosomal RNA, 600 nt
Filed under: Triticum aestivum (bread wheat)
Lineage: Eukaryota; Viridiplantae; Streptophyta; Magnoliopsida; Poales; Poaceae
Description: partial small subunit ribosomal RNA
Source: RNAcentral